RNAcentral lists this ribosomal RNA (207 nucleotides) under uncultured bacterium. Its description in RNAcentral is "partial 16S ribosomal RNA". It matches the Rfam family "Bacterial small subunit ribosomal RNA", at positions 568 to 774 of the family's 1533-position model. The record is from RNAcentral.
UGCGCAGGCGGUUAUAUAAGACAGAUGUGAAAUCCCCGGGCUCAACCUGGGACCUGCAUUUGUGACUGUAUAGCUAGAGUACGGUAGAGGGGGAUGGAAUUCCGCGUGUAGCAGUGAAAUGCGUAGAUAUGCGGAGGAACACCGAUGGCGAAGGCAAUCCCCUGGACCUGUACUGACGCUCAUGCACGAAAGCGUGGGGAGCAAACA